RNAcentral lists this ribosomal RNA (1269 nucleotides) under Hymenocera picta. Its description in RNAcentral is "16S ribosomal RNA". The stretch from base 803 to 1195 matches the Rfam family "Bacterial large subunit ribosomal RNA", at positions 2049 to 2651 of the family's 2925-position model. Lineage: Eukaryota; Metazoa; Arthropoda; Malacostraca; Decapoda; Palaemonidae. The record is from RNAcentral.
UUUGUAGUUUGGUUAUAUAAAAUAAUAAUUUCGUGUUCUUUUUAGUAUUAUUUUGAAAUUAAUAUUUUAAUUAUAGUUAAUAAGUACCGUAUGGGAAGUCUUUGUUUUAGUAAAAAGUAAUAUUUGUUUUAUGUACCUUUUGUAUCAGGGGAUAACAAUAUAUUUUGAUUAGUACUUUAUUCCCGAAAUGUUAAGAGCUAAGUUUGAUUUUAUUUCUGUGUUGUAAAACAGUUUGUAAGUCUAUUUUAGUGAAGAUAUUUUAGUCGUUUUACAUAUAUCUGGUUCUUUGGGAAAUAAAUUUAAUUUUUCUUUUUAUUUUACAUAAUGAGAUAGUAAAAACAGGAGGUAUGAGCUUCUUGUUGUUUAAUUAGGCUUUAUGCGGAAUUGUUGAAGUAGGCUUGAAAACAGCUUCCUUAAUAUAGCGUUAAAGUUAAAUUGUUUGUUUUGAAUAAUUUAUAUUAGCCUGUUUAUUAUACCAGGGAUUAUUGUUUAAUUAUAUUUCAUUAAUUAAACUGUUUUUAUAAGUAGUUUUUGUAGUUAUUAUGUGCAAUGUAGAAUAGUGUUUAUCUUGUAAUUUAUUUAAAGUUGGGUAAAAGGAAUUCGGCAAAAAUUAUCUUCACCUGUUUAUCAAAAACAUGUCUGUAUGAUUAUAUAUAAAGUCUAGCCUGCCCACUGAUUUUUAAAGGGCCGCGGUAAUUUGACCGUGCGAAGGUAGCAUAAUCAUUAGUCUUUUAAUUGAAGGCUGGAAUGAAUGGUUGGAUGAGGGAUAUACUGUCUUUAAUUUAAAAAAUAAAUUUAACUUUUAAGUGAAAAGGCUUAAAUAUUUUAGUGGGACGAUAAGACCCUAUAAAACUUUAUUUGGUGUGGGGUUAGCGAUGACUUUGUUUUAAAAUUGCUAUUUUUGCGUUAAAUUUUGUUGGGGAGACAUUAAUAUAAUAGGUAACUGUUGUUGAAAUUAAAUAAUUAUAAUUAGGUUUUGAUCCUUUAUUAGAGAUUAAAAGAUUAAGUUACUUUAGGGAUAACAGCGUAAUUUCCUUUGAGAGUUCUUAUCGACAAGGUUAGUUGCGACCUCGAUGUUGAAUUAAAAUUUCUGGGGGGUGUAGUCUUUCUCCUAGUAGGUCUGUUCGACCUUUAAAAUUUUACAUGAUUUGAGUUCAAACCGGUGUGAGCCAGGUUGGUUUCUAUCUUCUAAGUGUUUAUUGUAGACUUUAGUACGAAAGGAUUGAGUUUGCGAGAUAAUCUUAACUAUUUGAUUAAUAUUAAUUUAUA